AUAAUCUCUCUAUUUAAAGUUCAAAGUGACCCUGGAAAACAGUAACAAGUAAGCCUGGCGCUGAUCAGCCCACCCAACGACAGGAAGAAUGGCUGAAAAAGAAUCUACAUCAUCACGCAUUCUGGUCCCUAUUCUUCUCUUGAUUGCCUGGAUUGUGGGCUGCAUCGUAAUGGUUUACAUUACCUUCUUUUAGAAAGGCAAGACGACUUCAGACUGACGCCAUUUAGAAGAAUGAAGACAAGUGUGAACAUGACAGAUUAUUAAAUAUGUCUCAUGUAGACAACUGCAAUGUUUGACACUACUUCAUAAACUUGGAUUUGUAAACUGA
This is a long non-coding RNA of Myotis brandtii (Brandt's bat), 328 nucleotides long. RefSeq lists it as uncharacterized. NCBI's taxonomy places the organism in Eukaryota, Metazoa, Chordata, Mammalia, Chiroptera, Vespertilionidae. The transcript has 3 exons. The record is from RefSeq and is a predicted model, not a curated record.